This 254-nucleotide ribosomal RNA is filed under the name uncultured bacterium. Its description in RNAcentral is "partial 16S ribosomal RNA". It matches the Rfam family "Bacterial small subunit ribosomal RNA", at positions 524 to 776 of the family's 1533-position model. The record is from RNAcentral.
UACGAAGGGUGCAAGCGUUACUCGGAAUUACUGGGCGUAAAGCGUGCGUAGGUGGUUUGUUAAGUCUGAUGUGAAAGCCCUGGGCUCAACCUGGGAAUUGCAUUGGAUACUGGCAGGCUAGAGUGCGGUAGAGGGUAGUGGAAUUCCCGGUGUAGCAGUGAAAUGCGUAGAGAUCGGGAGGAACAUCCGUGGCGAAGGCGACUACCUGGACCAGCACUGACACUGAGGCACGAAAGCGUGGGGAUCGAAACAGG